This is a non-coding RNA of Arachis ipaensis, 2698 nucleotides long. Lineage: Eukaryota; Viridiplantae; Streptophyta; Magnoliopsida; Fabales; Fabaceae. The record is from RefSeq and is a predicted model, not a curated record.
GCCUCGUCUCGCCUCUUGCUUUAUUCAAGUCUCUCACCCUCUCCACACACAAACCCUAACAGAGCUGCAUCUUCUUUCUAUCCCUUCCUUCAUCUCUCAUUCUUGCCGGACGGCGCAUCUCACGAUAGGCACUGCCGUAGACGCAUUAAAAGUUUCUGUAUAGGGCUUUUCGAACACACCCACACACAGAAAGAAAAAAAAUCCCCAAUUUGGGAAUAGAGCUAUGCCUACCUCAAAGGAAAUUUGGUUCUUGAAUGUUCUUGUUCCUUCAAUUAUUGUUCCUCUGCUUUUAUCUCUCUUGUUUCUGAACCUUAUGCCAAAGGAAACUGCCAUUAAAUCCUAUGAGAUGUUUGGAGUUGAGAUCGAGAAGAAUCCACCUCUUUCCACACUCAUUGAGCUUGAUGUCACAACCUGAAGGCGAUGUCUGAGUAACUGCUGUGUGAAGUUUAGGAUGUAACCAGGUUUUCUGGUGGUUACUAAAUAUAAUGAAAGGGAUUAAUGGCUGAGCGAUUGUCUUUUGUGCGUGAGUUGGCGACAUGGUGAUGGCCCUGUGAAGAAGGGGAAACAUGAUCUUAAGAAAAGGGGCAGUGUCUGUAUGUGCUUUGAAGCUUUGCUUACUUUUUGUGUUAAGCUGCAAAUGGCCACCAUUUUUCAUGAUAUGGUGAUGCUGGAACAAGUUCAGGAUGUCAUUGGUUUGCCGGUAGAAGUUGUGCUGAAAUAUGUUGACAACACGGGCUAAGUGAUUAAUGGUUGCCUCAAGCGAUUGUGUUAUGAUUAGGACAAAGGUUUUGGAUGUUCUUAACAAGAAGUUGUGUUGGAUCCAUUUCAUACCAUGACCGUUGAUGGAUGACUAAGAAAAGAAAAAAACAAUUAUGUGGAGGAAGGAGAGGAGCAUCAACUUCUUUUGAUUUUGAACUUGAGAGGACUUUCCUAAGAUUAAGGAGAGAAGCAAGGGGCAAGGGGGUUACUGGUGAAGAAAAAAUGGAAGAAGAUUUAGAUUUAAUCAUGGAUGAUGAAAUGCAACACCACUAUGGAAAAGGUGCUGGCAAUCAUGCCCCACCACCAGUUAGAAGGGUAUUAGGCUCUUUCAUCAAUCCCAAUCUUGGGAAUUGUGGAAGUAACAUCUUCACACCCAAUGUGCAUGUAAACAAUUUUGAACUCAAAUCUCAGUUGAUCACCCUCGUUCAAAAUAACUGCCAAUUUAGAGGAGUUCAAGAAGACCCCAACGAGCAUUUGUCUACUUUCUUAAGGAUCAGUGAUACAGUGAAGAUAAAUGGGGUCCAUCAAGACACAUACAGAUUGCUUUUAUUCCCUUUCUCCCUAAGGGAUAAAGCAUACAAAUGGUUGGAGUCUUUUUCCAAAGAGAGCCUCACUGCUUGGGAUGAUGUGGUUAACAAAUUCUUGAUAAAAUUCUAUCUUUUUCAAAGGAUCAUUAGGUGCAAACAUUCAAGCAAUUGGAUGGAAAGACAUUGUAUGAAGCUUAAAAAAGGUACAAAGACUUGAUGAGAAAAUGAUUCUCAGUUAUGUUCAAUAAAUGGGUGCAGCUUUAGAUCUUCUAUGAAGGUGUAUCUUAAGAAGCAAAGAAGUCAUUAGGUCAUUUAUUUGGAGGCUCACUCCACACAAAGAUAACUCCCGAAGACGCAAUAGAACUCAUUGAGGCUGUGGUUAACAACUAAUACUAUUAUGCUUUUGAAAGGAGCAAUCAUUCAAGGAGGGGAGUGAUGGAGGUGAAUCACAUGGAUGCUUUACUAGUCCAAAACAAGCUGAUCACACAACAACUAGCAACCUUUACUAAGCACAUGAAGGUGGCACAAGUGUCAUCCAUCAAUACUCAAGCACCAGCCCAUACCAUACAUGAAGGAGCCAACUUAGAAGAAGAAUGUGAAUGGAAGCAAGCAAAUUUUGUAGGCGAUUCCUCUAGGCAACCUAAUGAUUCUCAUGCAAAGACCUAUAAUCUUGAAUGGAAAAACUACCAAAAUUUUGGGUGGGGAGGCUAACAAAAUCAAAACCAAGACCACAGAACACAAAACUCCAACCAUUCCAAAAUUUUAACUAGCAAUCCUCCAAUAAGAAGCAAUACCAAAACUCACACAAUACCACUUUCAAACCUCACCAUCAACUACAAAAUAGCCAUUUUCAACCUGACCAUCACCAACAAAAAAAACUAUUUCCAGCUUCCAAACCCCAACCCACUAUCACAAUCUCCUCUAAGGAUAGACUUUCAAGAAUAGAGAUCAUGCUUGGAAAACUUAUGGAGGAGUCAAGGGACAUGAAAGCAUUUAAGGAAGAAGUAAGAUCCAACAUACAGAAUCAAGGAGCCUCAAUUCAGAAAUUUAAAGCACAAGUUGGGUAUCUCUCCAAGCAAGUACCCAUGGCCACCCACACAUUCUUUAGUGAUACUAUGACUAAUCUAAGAUAAGAGUGUAGAGCCAUUACACUGAGAAGUAGAAAGAUAGUGAAGGAAACAUCUUCGAAGGAACUACAGGAAGACGAAAUUGAUAAGAACACAAGCAGUAAAGAAGAAGAGAAAGCACCUGCACCCACUCCACCAAAGGAGAAAGAAAUCUUGAAGCCUUAUGACCAAAAUGCUGAAGUAUUGGAGUUAUGCUAAGUUCUUGAAAGAACUUAUGACCAAUGCCUCAUUAUUUUAGGGAGACCAUUCCUAGCAACAGUUGGAGCUAUCAUCGAUGUGCAAAAA